GUGCUUAACACAUGCAAGUCGAACGAUGAACCAGGAGCUUGCUCUUGGGGAUUAGUGGCGAACGGGUGAGUAACACGUGAGUAACCUGCCCUUGACUCUGGGAUAAGCGUUGGAAACGACGUCUAAUACCGGAUACGAGCUUCCACCGCAUGGUGAGUUGCUGGAAAGAAUUUUGGUCAAGGAUGGACUCGCGGCCUAUCAGCUUGUUGGUGAGGUAACGGCUCACCAAGGCGACGACGGGUAGCCGGCCUGAGAGGGUGACCGGCCACACUGGGACUGAGACACGGCCCAGACUCCUACGGGAGGCAGCAGUGGGGAAUAUUGCACAAUGGGCGAAAGCCUGAUGCAGCAACGCCGCGUGAGGGACGACGGCCUUCGGGUUGUAAACCUCUUUUAGCAGGGAAGAAGCGAAAGUGACGGUACCUGCAGAAAAAGCACCGGCUAACUACGUGCCAGCAGCCGCGGUAAUACGUAGGGUGCAAGCGUUGUCCGGAAUUAUUGGGCGUAAAGAGCUCGUAGGCGGUUUGUCGCGUCUGCUGUGAAAUCCCGAGGCUCAACCUCGGGUCUGCAGUGGGUACGGGCAGACUAGAGUGCGGUAGGGGAGAUUGGAAUUCCUGGUGUAGCGGUGGAAUGCGCAGAUAUCAGGAGGAACACCGAUGGCGAAGGCAGAUCUCUGGGCCGCUACUGACGCUGAGGAGCGAAAGGGUGGGGAGCAAACAGGCUUAGAUACCCUGGUAGUCCACCCCGUAAACGUUGGGCGCUAGAUGUGGGGACCAUUCCACGGUUUCCGUGUCGUAGCUAACGCAUUAAGCGCCCCGCCUGGGGAGUAC
RNAcentral lists this ribosomal RNA (830 nucleotides) under Microbacteriaceae bacterium ACEMC 25-9. Its description in RNAcentral is "bacterial SSU rRNA". It matches the Rfam family "Bacterial small subunit ribosomal RNA", at positions 44 to 883 of the family's 1533-position model. Lineage: Bacteria; Bacillati; Actinomycetota; Actinomycetes; Micrococcales; Microbacteriaceae. The record is from RNAcentral.